AACCUAAACUUGGCAACAGGCAUGGUUUUAAGUCCUUGUAAGCAACAAGCUCGUCCUAGAGUCUUACAAGGCCGUGGUCCGAAAGGAUCAUGGGAGCCGAAAGGUUCC
Molecule: small RNA, 108 nt
Filed under: unclassified sequences
Description: LOOT RNA
Rfam family: LOOT RNA
About the family: Latescibacteria, OD1/Parcubacteria, OP11, TM7. Lineage (Microgenomates, aka OP11)
Source: Rfam by way of RNAcentral